UGGGGAAUAUUGCGCAAUGGGGGCAACCCUGACGCAGCAACGCCGCGUGCGGGACGACGGCCUUCGGGUUGUAAACCGCUUUCAGCAGGGAAGAUAGUGACGGUACCUGCACAAGAAGCCCCGGCUAACUACGUGCCAGCAGCCGCGGUAAUACGUAGGGGGCGAGCGUUAUCCGGAUUCAUUGGGCGUAAAGGGUACGUAGGCGGUCUAUUAAGUCAGGUGUGAAAGCGUGAGGCUUAACCUCAUUAAGCACUUGAAACUGAUAGACUUGAGUGAAGGAGAGGAAAGUGGAAUUCCUAGUGUAGCGGUGAAAUGCGUAGAUAUUAGGAGGAAUACCGGUGGCGAAGGCGACUUUCUGGACUUUUACUGACGCUCAGGUACGAAAGCGUGGGGAGCAAACAGG
This 403-nucleotide ribosomal RNA is filed under the name Verrucomicrobiota bacterium. Its description in RNAcentral is "Verrucomicrobia bacterium partial 16S ribosomal RNA". It matches the Rfam family "Bacterial small subunit ribosomal RNA", at positions 355 to 776 of the family's 1533-position model. Lineage: Bacteria; Pseudomonadati; Verrucomicrobiota. The record is from RNAcentral.